UGAAUGGGCGCGGCUACCAUGCAGUCGAGCGGUAACAGAUCCAGCUUGCUGGAUGCUGACGAGCGGCGGACGGGUGAGUAAUGCAUAGGAAUCUGCCCGAUAGUGGGGGAUAACCUGGGGAAACCCAGGCUAAUACCGCAUACGUCCUACGGGAGAAAGGGGGCUUCGGCUCCCGCUAUCGGAUGAGCCUAUGUCGGAUUAGCUAGUUGGUGAGGUAACGGCUCACCAAGGCCACGAUCCGUAGCUGGUCUGAGAGGAUGAUCAGCCACAUCGGGACUGAGACACGGCCCGAACUCCUACGGGAGGCAGCAGUGGGGAAUAUUGGACAAUGGGGGGAACCCUGAUCCAGCCAUGCCGCGUGUGUGAAGAAGGCCCUCGGGUUGUAAAGCACUUUCAGCGAGGAAGAACGCCUAGCGGUUAAUACCCGCUAGGAAAGACAUCACUCGCAGAAGAAGCACCGGCUAACUCCGUGCCAGCAGCCGCGGUAAUACGGAGGGUGCAAGCGUUAAUCGGAAUUACUGGGCGUAAAGCGCGCGUAGGUGGCUUGAUAAGCCGGUUGUGAAAGCCCCGGGCUCAACCUGGGAACGGCAUCCGGAACUGUCAAGCUAGAGUGCAGGAGAGGAAGGUAGAAUUCCCGGUGUAGCGGUGAAAUGCGUAGAGAUCGGGAGGAAUACCAGUGGCGAAGGCGGCCUUCUGGACUGACACUGACACUGAGGUGCGAAAGCGUGGGUAGCAAACAGGAUUAGAUAUCCUUGGUAGUCA
This 762-nucleotide ribosomal RNA is filed under the name Vreelandella aquamarina. Its description in RNAcentral is "bacterial SSU rRNA". It matches the Rfam family "Bacterial small subunit ribosomal RNA", at positions 30 to 796 of the family's 1533-position model. The record is from RNAcentral. Lineage: Bacteria; Pseudomonadati; Pseudomonadota; Gammaproteobacteria; Oceanospirillales; Halomonadaceae.